The sequence is a regulatory RNA element, 137 nucleotides long. It matches the Rfam family "Ribosomal protein L10 leader". Rfam says of the family: This family is a putative r-protein leader autoregulatory structure found in B. subtilis and other low-GC Gram-positive bacteria. The record is from Rfam.
AAUAGAAUUACAUUUGUACCGCAGACAGCAGGGGCUUCAUGCUUAAUAUCCUGCCGAGGUCAUACGAUAAAGCAAAAUACUUGCUAUUGUAUCCUUCCUCCGUGUCUGCCAUGAUGCGGAGGUUUUUAUUUGAUCGG